Molecule: long non-coding RNA, 687 nt
Organism: Anopheles funestus (African malaria mosquito)
Lineage: Eukaryota; Metazoa; Arthropoda; Insecta; Diptera; Culicidae
Exons: 2
Source: RefSeq, a predicted model, not a curated record
UUAUUUCUCGGUUCGAGUCCGCCAUGACGUCACUUUUUGGGGGUAUUCUGCGUUCGAAACGGCCUUCCCGGCGCUGGUGGCCCUCAAACACUGCGGACGCAAACGCGCUUCGAUGGUGCUCCGUGGUGUGCUGUAUGAUGCUGUCCGUUAUUUCAAAGUAGGGCCAGUUGUUUUAGUUGCUAUUAUUAUCGUUCGGUCGUGUUUAAAAUUACCGGUUUGCACAUCGCCUACCCAUUCAUACGUGUUCUCACACUUUAUUCUUGGUGUGAUUUACGCUUGACGAUGGGAAAAACUGAACGUAAACCACGUUCAAAAAGGCGAUACACAUUUAACCACAAAACGAUGGGAUAAUGUUUGUCGUAUUGGUGACGGCGCCAACGCCUUCAGUCGUACACCUUCUGGGGCCCAACAAGCGGUUUGUGUCAUCCCGACCUAAAACACGUUUCACGUGCUGACGCGUCGUCAUUACCGGUCGAGUUGGCAGGAGAGUAGCAUGACGCGUAUGGCUAGGGUGAAACAUUCAAACCACAACAGAACACUGCUUAAGCUUAGCUGAUAAGAAGCGAGGUGAGUGAGAUGUGUGUAAAAUAGACGCAAUGUCUAACCGGUUUGAGUCAGUUUCAGUUUUUGUCAUUUUUUCUACUCGUUGUUUCAUCAUCAUGCGGUAAUUGUUGUACCAGAUUUAUG